This is a non-coding RNA of Taeniopygia guttata (zebra finch), 1661 nucleotides long. The record is from RefSeq and is a predicted model, not a curated record. Lineage: Eukaryota; Metazoa; Chordata; Aves; Passeriformes; Estrildidae.
ACAGGGAAAAGUGAUAGUGAGGAGCUUGUCAAGCAGAAAUUAUUCAAAACCAGAGACCAUCCCUUUGGCCACCCCACAACCAACUAUUGUUCUAUUUGUCUCUUUGAAUUUUCUAAGUUUUUAUGCCCUAUGGCAAAAAUAUUAUAGUUUGCUAAGUGUUGGUGUUGUCAACUGCUUUUCAACACCUGCACUGCUUCAAGAGUCCCUGUUUUGAGAGAAAAACAUUGAUUUAUAUGCUAAUUUUGUAAUUGCUAUACUCUGAUGGCGUGUGAAGAUUUAAGCAUCCGUUUGAUGUUUACUUCCAGCUCUUCCUUUAAAAAUACCUUUUAGGGGGUGGGAAUGCAUCUGGACAAUGUUUUUCCAGUUAGGCAAAGAAGAUGGUUGUUUUCUUUGGUUUUCCCCUAUUUCCAGGGUGUCAUGGAAGGCUACAAUGGCACCAUCUUUGCCUAUGGCCAGGCUGUCAGUGGGAAGUCCUUCACCAUGCAGGGAGCUGUGGAUCCUUCCUCACAGAAAGGGAUCAUUCCCAGGGCAUUAGAACACAUCUUUGAGAGUGUACAGUGUGCUGAAAACACCAAGUUCCUGCUGAGAGCCUCCUACCUGGAGAUCCACAAUGAGGACAUAGAGACCUUCUAGGAGCUGACACCAAGCAGAAGCUGGAGGACUGCCCCGGUGUACAAAACCAAGGCAGUAACAGCCUGCAGCAUUCUGGGAUGUUAACAGACCCAAACUGCCCUACAGGACAGGUAUUUCUAACAGGUUUCCUGCUUUAAGGCAGGCAAACCCCUGUGUGCUCCACGUUCCAAGCGUGCUUCGCCUGUCUCCUGCAGAGGGAGAGUGGGAGAAGGGGACUUGUUGCUGCAGUUUCCUUUCCUUUGUUCCACAGCGGCGGUGACACGGGUUUCCAUGGCGAUGCGGUUGGCACCGGGCGGGCAGGAGAUGGGCAGAGCAGUUUCCAGGGUAACUCUGCCUGUUGCUGCCUCCACUGAGUACUUCAGGGAGUGUGUCCUGCCGAAAUAAAUCCCAGGCUGCCCCACUGCAUUCCUCUGAGCCCCCCAGUUCCCCCAGAACCAGUUGUAUUCAUUCACCUCAGUGACUACAGCAUGUCUUUGGUCAGGUGUUCCUCAGGGACUCUGCAACACCCCCAGACAGAGCAAGGCCAGUCCUGGGGUUCUCAGUAGCACAGAGCAGUCACAGUGUAUGAACACUGCCUGUGACUGAACCUGGAUUCAUCCCGGUCAUCGUGGCUUUGGAACAAGGAUAAAUCCCACCCAGUUAAGUGUUCAGCCACUUUUGUUCUGUUCUGUGGGAUUUUUUUAACAGCAAACGCUGUUUUACAUUAUUUCUUGAUGAGCAUCACUGAAGUAUCUGAGCCUCCUCUUUGGAAGUCACAGUGUCAAAUGUGGUCUCUGUUGCUCUAUCAUGACAACUAUAUCUCAAUAUCCCAGCUGACAAGAUAAAGAUAAUUUUGGUGAUGAACUUAGCAGAUGUGGGGUGUAACAGAGCUGUGGAAAAUUCAUUUAGCUCAUUUAAAAUUCCCAUUGUGGAGGGGGCUGGUGUAGGAGUGCAGGGAUCUCUGGAUUAUUUUGUAUUUUUAUGUAGGCUUGAUGGGUAAAUUAAAAUUUUGGAUAUUUCCAUUGCUUAUUAAAAUUCAUGAAACUUUU